ACCCGCUGAACUUAAGCAUAUCAAUAAGCGGAGGAAAAGAAACCAACAGGGAUUGCCUCAGUAACGGCGAGUGAAGCGGCAAUAGCUCAAAUUUGAAAUCUGGCUGUUUUGCAGUCCGAGUUGUAAUUUGUAGAGGAUGUUUCGGGCACCGCCCCGGUUUAAAUUUCUUGGAACAGAAUGUCAAAGAGGGUGAGAAUCCCGUCUUGAACCGGUGGUAGGGUCCAUGUGAAACUCCUUCGACGAGUCGAGUUGUUUGGGAAUGCAGCUCAAAAUGGGUGGUAAAUUUCAUCUAAAGCUAAAUAUUGGCCAGAGACCGAUAGCGCACAAGUAGAGUGAUCGAAAGAUGAAAAGCACUUUGAAAAGAGAGUUAAACAGUAUGUGAAAUUGUUGAAAGGGAAGCGCUUGCAACCAGACUUGAGCGCGGUGGUUCCCCCUUCCUUCUGGUUGGGUUAUUCCACCGUGUCCAGGCCAACAUCAGUUUUGGGGGCCGGUUAAAGACCUCGGGAAUGUAUCUAGUCCUUCGGGGCUAGACUUAUAGCCCGGGGUGUCAUGCGGCCUCCCGAGACUGAGGAACGCGCCUCGGCGAGGAUGUUGGCGUAAUGGUUGUCAGCGACCCGUCUUGAAACACGG
This 630-nucleotide ribosomal RNA is filed under the name uncultured fungus. RNAcentral describes it as "LSU rRNA". It matches the Rfam family "Eukaryotic large subunit ribosomal RNA", at positions 23 to 664 of the family's 3401-position model. Lineage: Eukaryota; Fungi. The record is from RNAcentral.